Long non-coding RNA from Talpa occidentalis (Iberian mole), 595 nucleotides. RefSeq lists it as uncharacterized. The transcript has 3 exons. The record is from RefSeq and is a predicted model, not a curated record. NCBI's taxonomy places the organism in Eukaryota, Metazoa, Chordata, Mammalia, Eulipotyphla, Talpidae.
CGUGGCACAGCCCAUGAGCGCGUGGCUUCAUUUCUCCUCUGAAACUAGAGAUCAUUUUAAGAUUCUCUCCCAGGUUGAACAUGUCAGCCACUUCUUCCACACCUGCUCACACUGGGCUUUGUGUGCUAAUGUCAGUUUACCAAGAACUAUUUGUUAAGUGUAUGGUGUUUACAGAACACUCUACAGGACUAUAAAAGAGAGAGAAAAUAUAUUGUCAAAGGAUUAGCGAUUCUCAUAAAAAUGUGGAGAAGAAUUUUUUUAAGAAAAUCAUAGUAACAAUAGAAAAAUAGAACAUCAUUAGUAAGUCCAAAAUGUUGAAGAAUGUAUUCAAGAAGGAUAACAGGUGGUAUUAAAAGAAGGAUAAAAGAACAGAGAAAGGCAAAGCCGCGUGUAAGGACGACAUCCCUGCACUGGUCCUGCGAGUGGUCUCCAUUCAGUCAAUAGCUGUCAAGAGUUGGAGAGAACCCAGACAUCAUUAGGGUGAUUAAUUGAAGGACUGCACUUAAAAGAUAGGCAUUUAUCACUCCAUUUCCAUUUCUCUGUAUAUGCAAUGAACAGGAAAUAAUUUGUGUACACAGAUAAUAAAAAAUUUAAA